AAAACGAUUUCGCAAAUAGGUUCUUAACAAGAUUAAGAAUAAUAGGGAAGUUGGUGUAAAUCCAGCGCGGUCCCGCCACUGUAAUCACAGAGCUGCAUGACAGAUACCCACUGUAACCAAAUGCUUAUGGGAAGGGAGUUGUGCUCGCAAGGAAGUGUAAGCCAGGAGACCUGCCUAUUUGUUUGGUUCAAG
RNAcentral lists this non-coding RNA (192 nucleotides) under Bacillus sp. (in: firmicutes). Lineage: Bacteria; Bacillati; Bacillota; Bacilli; Caryophanales; Bacillaceae. The record is from RNAcentral.